CCUACGGGAGGCAGCAGUGAGGAAUAUUGGUCAAUGGGCUUACGCCUGAACCAGCCAAGUCGCGUGAGGGAAGACUGCCCUAUGGGUUGUAAACCUCUUUUGUCAGGGAGCAACGCCGGCUUCGUGUAGCCGGACUCAGAGUACCUGAAGAAAAAGCAUCGCCUAACUCGGUGCCAGCAGCCGCGGUAAUACGGAGGAGGCGAGCGUUAUCCGGAUUUAUUGGGUUUAACGGGUGCGUAGGCGGAAUGCCAAGUCAGCGGUAAAAUCGCGGGGCUAAACUUCGCUCCGCCGUUGAAACUGGCGUUCUUGAGUGGGCGAGAGGUAUGCGGAAUGCGUGGUGUAGCGGUGAAAUGCAUAGAUAUCACGCAGAACUCCGAUUGCGAAGGCAGCAUACCGGCGCCCAACUGACGCUGAAGCACGAAAGCGUGGGGAUCGAACAGGAUUAGAUACCCGAGUAGUC
RNAcentral lists this ribosomal RNA (460 nucleotides) under uncultured bacterium. Its description in RNAcentral is "partial 16S ribosomal RNA". It matches the Rfam family "Bacterial small subunit ribosomal RNA", at positions 338 to 795 of the family's 1533-position model. The record is from RNAcentral.